GCGAACGCUGGCGGCAGGCUUAACACAUGCAAGUCGAACGGGUAUCUUCGGAUACUAGUGGCAGACGGGUGAGUAACACGUGGGAACGUACCUUUCGGUUCGGAAUAAUACAGGGAAACUUGUACUAAUACCGGAUACGCCCUUCGGGGGAAAGAUUUAUCGCCGAUAGAUCGGCCCGCGUCUGAUUAGCUAGUUGGUGAGGUAAUGGCUCACCAAGGCGACGAUCAGUAGCUGGUCUGAGAGGAUGAUCAGCCACACUGGGACUGAGACACGGCCCAGACUCCUACGGGAGGCAGCAGUGGGGAAUAUUGGACAAUGGGCGCAAGCCUGAUCCAGCCAUGCCGCGUGUGUGAUGAAGGCCUUAGGGUUGUAAAGCUCUUUUACCAGGGAUGAUAAUGACAGUACCUGGAGAAUAAGCUCCGGCUAACUCCGU
RNAcentral lists this ribosomal RNA (433 nucleotides) under uncultured bacterium. RNAcentral describes it as "bacterial SSU rRNA". It matches the Rfam family "Bacterial small subunit ribosomal RNA", at positions 29 to 506 of the family's 1533-position model. The record is from RNAcentral.